GACGAACGCUGGCGGUGUGCUUAACACAUGCAAGUCGAGCGAUGAAGCUCCUUCGGGAGUGGAUUAGCGGCGGACGGGUGAGUAACACGUGGGUAACCUGCCUCAUAGAGGGGAAUAGCCUUUCGAAAGGAAGAUUAAUACCGCAUAAGAUUGUAGUACCGCAUGGUACAGCAAUUAAAGGAGUAAUCCGCUAUGAGAUGGACCCGCGUCGCAUUAGCUAGUUGGUGAGGUAACGGCUCACCAAGGCGACGAUGCGUAGCCGACCUGAGAGGGUGAUCGGCCACAUUGGGACUGAGACACGGCCCAGACUCCUACGGGAGGCAGCAGUGGGGAAUAUUGCACAAUGGGGGAAGCCCUGAUGCAGCAACGCCGCGUGAGUGGUGACGGUCUUCGGAUUGUAAAGCUCUGUCUUUAGGGACGAUAAUGACGGUACCUAAGGAGGAAGCCACGGCUAACUACGUGCCAGCCGCCGCGGUAA
Molecule: ribosomal RNA, 478 nt
Filed under: uncultured bacterium
Lineage: Bacteria
Description: partial 16S ribosomal RNA
Rfam family: Bacterial small subunit ribosomal RNA
Source: RNAcentral